GGGAAACGGGAUGAGGGGCCCAGCCCCAGGGCCCCAGGCAAAAAAACACUUGGGGCA
Non-coding RNA from Sarcophilus harrisii (Tasmanian devil), 57 nucleotides. Lineage: Eukaryota; Metazoa; Chordata; Mammalia; Dasyuromorphia; Dasyuridae. The record is from Rfam.